RNAcentral lists this long non-coding RNA (216 nucleotides) under Nicotiana benthamiana. Its description in RNAcentral is "long non-coding RNA (NBEN_LNC035803)". The record is from RNAcentral. Lineage: Eukaryota; Viridiplantae; Streptophyta; Magnoliopsida; Solanales; Solanaceae.
UCCAGCAGAAAUAGCGUAAAUAAUUAUCUAAACAUAAGAAACAUAAAUAAAAUAGCAUGCAAUUAUAUCAUACAGUAACUACCAUAAAUAACAACCAUAAGGGAGACACAAGCAGAAACACAAAUCAUCUAUGGAUAGCCCUGCCAAGCCUCACCCAAACCCGAGUGAGGAGUACGAAAAACUCUAGGAGCCCCUAUCCUACAACCCUGAUACUAG